Suricata suricatta (meerkat) is the source of this 495-nucleotide long non-coding RNA. RefSeq lists it as uncharacterized. The transcript has 5 exons. The record is from RefSeq and is a predicted model, not a curated record. Lineage: Eukaryota; Metazoa; Chordata; Mammalia; Carnivora; Herpestidae.
CAUUCUAAAUCAGUGAAGACAUCGAAACAAAAGCCGACGUGGGGCAAUUAGGUGACUUGUGGAUGAAAACAGUCAUGCCUGUUGAAGAGACGUGAGAAGGACAUUACUUUGCAGUCCAAGUCAUGUGAUAAACAAUAGACCAGAUGGAGUUGCCACACAAAGGAAAUUUCAUUUGCAACAAAUAAGGAGAUCACAAUAACUUCCAAAACCCUGUGCUGCAGCAAGAGCUGGAGACUUUUUAACGGUGCAAUGGAGCAGAGGUAACUGUCAGAAGAAAAGAAGGGGCUGUGGGCAUGCUCCGAGAGCUGGCAUAAACUGGAUGGCAUAUUUGGCUCCUUAUCUCCGGUUCCCUCCACUCCACGGAACUGCCAGUUUUCUCUCUCCUAGUUCACUUCUACGCACGUCGCACCUGCCAUGCUGUCGCCGUCCACCUGUGAAUAUCCUUCCGCCACUCCGCAGAUCGAAGUCCUGCGUGUUUCAAGUGAUCUUACCACA